AGAGGCUUCCAAAUGGAUGGCAGAGUCUAACAUGCCUUGAAGAAUUGACAAUCAGGGAUUGUCCAAAGCUAGCGUCAUUUCCAGACGAAGGUUUCCCACCAAUGCUGAGAAAUCUUAUUCUUGACAAUUGUGAAGGUCUAAAGUGUCUACCUGAUGGCAUGAUGUUGAAGAUGAGGAACGACAGUACUGACAGCAACAACUUGUGUCUCCUUGAAGAGCUAGAGAUAUACAGGUGUCCAUCUCUCAUUUGCUUUCCAAAAGGGCAAUUACCCACACCUUAAGAGUCUAAGCAUAUUCUGUUGUGAAAAUCUCAAGUCUCUUCCAGAAGGAAUGAUGGGCAUGUGUGCCCUUGAAUACUUUUCUAUAUAUGGGUGUCAUUCUCUUAUUGGAUUACCGAAAGGUGGGUUACCCGCCACUCUCGAGACACUCAGAAUAACUGAUUGUAAAAGGCUAGAGUCUCUACCAGAGGGAAUAAUGCACCAACAUUCCACCAAUGCUGCUGCUCUCCAAGCCUUGGAAAUCUCAAGUCUCAAGUCUCUUCCAGAAGGAAUGAUGCACUGCAAUUCCAUCGCCACCACCAGCACCAUGGACAUGUGUGCCCUUGAAUACUUAAGUCUAAAUAUAUGUCCAUCUCUCACAUCCUUCCCAAGAGGCAAGUUUCCAUCCACCCUUGAGCAACUUCACAUUGGGGAUUGUGAACACCUCGAGUCAAUUUCAGAGGAGAUGUUUCACUCUACUAAUAGUUCACUUCAAUCUUUAAUCCUCGGGAGGUAUUCUGAUCGCAAAACCCUACCAGAUUGCCUCAACACCCUCACAGGUCUAAGUAUUGAAGAUUUUGAAAAUCUGGAAUUGUUGCUUCCUCAGAUAAAAAAGCUCACUCGUCUUACAUCGCUUAACAUUCGUAAUUGUGAGAAUAUCAAGACCCCCCUAUCCCAAUGGGGCCUUUCCAGACUCACCUCUCUUAAACGACUCUCGAUUCGAGGCAUGUUUCCAGAUGCAACUUCCUUUUCGGAUGACCCCCACUCGAUUCUUUUUCCUACAACUCUCACCUCCCUUACCCUUUCACAUUUCCAGAAUCUGGAAUCCCUAGCCUCCCUGUCUCUCCAAACCCUCACCUCUCUUGAAGAGCUAGAAAUCGUAAGUUGCCCUAAGCUCCGGUCGAUUUUGCCAAGGGAAGGACUAUUGCCUGACACCCUUUCACGACUGUAUGUGGAGCGUUGCCCACAUCUAACACAAAGGUACUCGAAGGAGGAAGGAGAUGAUUGGCCCAAGAUUGCCCACAUCCCUUGUGUGGAGAUACAUGACUAAUCCAUCUGAGUAAUAAAUAAGUUCUAAUGAGGUCAUUUACUGGAAAAACGGUGUCAAUUUGAGAAAGGGGAAGAAUGGCGUUAUAUAGAUCUCAUUCCUAAAAUAGUGAUCAAUGAAGUGCUAUUUUAAUCAAAGUGCCACUCUGCCACUCCGCCAAUACACAGUUAGUGUUCAUUACAAGUAAUCGGGAUGAGCCUAGAUGUUUGAACUCUCCUUUGGUUCAGCAGCUUGCACUGAUUGGGCGUCCAUGUAAAAUGUGCUCUAACCAAGUGGAUUUCUUCAAAAGGAAGUGGAAUAUGAAGAAAGGAUAGAUUGUUCAGAUUUUGCCUGUAGAGGAAGGGAGAUUGCUGGGUGCUCAACACUUGAUGCUCAUUGCUCUGUUCAAGAAGAAUAAGAAACUGAGAGGAUCAGUUUCAGCCAUGUCAGGACUCUAAUCCAUGGCAGGCUUUCUCUGAGGUAGGUGCCCAGACAACAAAAGCAAGUCUGUUAGGACCCGAAAUGGCCAUCACAACAAACCAGCCACAGAAGCAACUUCUGGCCCUGAAACUUGGGGUUUUGGAACAGAGAGUUUUACAGCCACCCCUGGUGCCAGCUCUAAUAUUUCCAGACCCUCCAUUGGAGGCAAUAAUGCCCAGCUGUUUGUUGACUCAAAGAAGAUUGAGGGCAAGCUGGCUACUCAACUUGCUGGAUGGGCUGGUUUCUAACUUAUUUGGUGAUGUUAUAUCAUCCUGGGCACUUCUGGCCAUAAGAGAUGGGAAUAGGUAAAAAAGCAAAACAAAAAGGGAUUCAUGGCUUUCUGGGCAUGGUUAUGCUUGUAAGUAUUGAGUGUUUGCCUUAUGCAAUAGAAUACAACAUCUGCAUAUGUUCCCUAGUUUCCAUGGACUACUUACAAAUGUGUACUGUUCUGAAUGCCUCGAUUUUCAGGUCUUGAGCCCAAACAACAUCCACUGUCUCUUAAGACCAUAAAUGGUCAUCGUAACAUUUUAUUUGGUAUUGAAGUGGUGUCAGAUCUAAAUGCAUUAGCUGGACAAUCGAAUGGCGGUUACUUAUCUAACAGAUGUUGUUUUACUAAACCAUGGAAUAAAAGAAAACUCAACCCUCUCAUCCGUAAUUCAGAACCAUCUAAAGCCUGGCCAUGGAAUAAGCUCAAGCCUUUCUGUACAGAGAAGCUGGACUCUCUCAAAUUUUGAUUUGUAAAUAUCCAAAGCUAUGAUUUCAAAAGUCAUUAAAUGUGCCAAUCCCUGUUGACCUCAAUCAGAGCUUAAGGAGUGUGUUAGACUGUUACCAUUGAUCACCUCAGUCCAAAAGGCAUUCCAUUCAGGGAAGAGGAAAUAGAAGAAAAUGGCAGCUCUUGAUGUAUUUUGAUUUUGAUCAAGGCUUUCUUGAUGUAUACUAUGAUGUUUUGCUCAAAUUAAUCCUGAUGAUUUUCUUGAUUGGGAAGGUGACUUUUCCUCCAAGGAAGAGAAUAGAUUGUUACGAUUUUGGCAGAGUUUUCCCAGUGAAGGAAUUGAAGGAAGGGGAGAUUCCCGGGUGCUGAACUAUUGAUGUUCAUUGCUCUGUUCAAGAAGAACAAGAAACUUUUCAGGAUAGUCAAAAGCAUAGGAAAAGCUGAAGCUGAAGAUACCAUGCACAAAAACAGGAGAGUUUCCAUUGAAACCAGUCCAAAUUAUGAUUGAACCUUGGCAUUGAGCUGAUGCUUCAUAACGUGUUAUUAUAAGAGACAUAGGCUGCUCGAGUUGUCUGAAUAUACCCCAUAGUCCCUCUGAUGCCUGUACACAAGUCCUUGGGCGGCUCUAGAAAGGAAGCUUGAUAAAGAGCCAUUGUGCAUAAAAAAAAAAAAAAAAAAAAAAAGAAAACACCAAUAGUCAGUGUUCACCCUCAUGACAGUAACGCAGCAACUGUCCUUGAUUCUUAUGGUGAGUUUGGCCUAUCACAUUCACUUCUGCUUUGAAUUCUUUCUCAUCUUCUCCCACCACCUUCUCCAACUUCUUUUCAGCAACAGAAUUUCCAGAACCUGAUGGUAAUAUCCCUUUAUAGACAGUGUCAAAGGCUUCUACCAUCGCUUGUACUCAGGAUUCUGUGAUAAAGCUGCAGAUUUUUGAGGUUCAAGUGGUAGAAAACUAGAGAAAUUGCAGCCAGAGAAACGAAGAAGAAAAACGCAGAGGGGCCUAAGAGGACUGAGAGUAUUAGAAUUGCUUUAUUUUGGUUGCCUCUGCCUGAAGUUAGUUCACUGGACUUCAAUAUCUUGAUUAGAGCACUUCUGGAAACAUCAGUUUGAUCCAACCUCCCAUUUGAAAGAGGUAGUCUUUUCUUCCAACAGCUUCCAGUUCCAUUUGCAAACCUCAGGUCCUCAAAAAUAGCAACUGCACAGCAGGCUCCAACACCAAUCCCUGGGUUGGCAAUAUGGCAUUAGUUGGGUGCUUGAAGCUCUCCCAUAUACUGGUAUACAAUUUCCAUGUCCAAGCAUGGCACCAUGCACUGCUUCGCUGCUCACAUUACCAGUCUUUGUCUUCAUCUCUUAGCCUCUGGAGAACAAGUUGUCCAUUGGUAGUAAGCUCAACUUUUGAUCCUCUUGGCACCGGUUAACUUCCAUUUGCAGUCCAGAUAGCAAGAAGGAUAUUGAUCCUUUUCACUUGGAGAGGGUCAGAAUCCAAAUGCAAAUCACCAGAAGGCGAACCCCAUGUGGAGUUGUCAUCAGAGACAUGGAGAGAUGAACCCAAGCUUAUAUUACUAUAAGCUUGGCUAAUGAGUAACAAGUAGAGGUAGAGAGACGAUGUAUGUAAGUUGGUAUGUGAAUAAUUGGCCACCCGACUGCUUUUCUCUGCAUGUUGAUUAAGUUGAAAGAGUCUAGUGAAUAUUAUUUUCUUCUAUAAUUGAACAUUCUCCUGUAAUUGAAUAGUGUGAAAGCAAUUUUUUCUUCUUCUUCAACAAAUGAAUAUUGAGAGCAUAGGAUUACAAUAAA
Vitis riparia (riverbank grape) is the source of this 4270-nucleotide RNA transcript. It is a transcript of the gene named putative disease resistance protein At3g14460, with no coding region annotated. The record is from RefSeq and is a predicted model, not a curated record. NCBI's taxonomy places the organism in Eukaryota, Viridiplantae, Streptophyta, Magnoliopsida, Vitales, Vitaceae. The transcript has 12 exons.